AUGUUAUCUAAAUUAUCACGAUACUCAACAUUUUCUUUAGUCGCCAGACAAUCAGUGGCUUUGGAGGUACAACAGCUUACCAGCUUGUAUACCAUAUCGAUCUCUUCACCGCCCGUGUACUAUGUGAUGUCAUUGGCAUACCACCCAACUGAUCUUGGAGGCCAGUUUGUACGCACUGCAGACAGUGUGCGCGUCUUUUCGUGGUGCCAAGCAAGAGCAUUGGUACCACAGUUAGGAGUUCAAUCUGGCUCAUGGCGUCUAGUACAUCAUAGUCAUGGGCUCAUGGCUGAUAUUGUUGGGUUGAUCUCUCUCCCGUUCGAACUUAACAGGUCGAACGGGCCCCUGACUCGCGCCCUGAUCGGGGCGCCAAACCAAACCAUGGUUGGUGGGCCCCUGUCGCCAGCGCAAUAUAAAGAGGUGGGGAGCCGGGGCACGCAUCACGAGGUUGACCAUGCGACACACUCCCCACCGACACUCCCUACCGAUCUAGGGUUUGCGCUAGGCCGACGGGAAGCUCCACCGCCGCCACCUCGCCCACACUCCGUCAUCACCAUGGUCGGCGCUGGAUCGAGCUCGUCAGCACCAGCAGAAGGAGGCUUUCACUUGAUGAGUUGCCUAAAAGAUGUUCCGACACUCAGAGGUGACAAUCACACUGAGUGGAGGAAGAGAGUUGACCUGGCAUUUGUCCUUGCUGACCUGGACUGGGUUGUGGAUGAACCACAGCCGGUCAGACCUACAGAGCUAGUAAGAGAGGCCACUGAUGAUGAUGUUGCGUGGGCUAAAAAGAGGGGGGAUUAUGCUCCUUUGGAGAUGUCAUACAUCAUGGAAAACCAAAAGUGGGUCAAUGCAAAGAAAAAGUGCAUGGCAUUUAUAAAGAAUACAAUUGUGAGCACCAUUGUGGGCUCCAUUGCAGAGUGCACUUCCGCAGGGGAGUUGCUUACAAAGAUAAAGAGCCAGUUCACUGGCUCUUCAAAGAUAUAUGCCACCCAGGUGUUAGAGCAACUGGUGACAGAACGCUACACAGGUGGUAGUCAUGGAAUAAGAGAGCACAUCCUCAGGAUGAGCAAUAUGACAGCAAAGCUAAAGCCCAUGGAUGAGGAUCUGGAGAUCAAACCAAAGCUCCUGGUCCACCUGGUCAUGGCUUCACUGCCAAAGGAGUUUGAAACUUUUGUUGUAAACUACAAUAUGUCACCUGGAACAUGGGACAUUGAAAAGAGAAUAGCAAUGUGUGUCCAAGAAGAGGACAAACUCAAAGCCUCACAUGGUGGUUCACUCAACUAUGUGAAGGGUCACAAGAAAAAGAAUUACAAUCAAAACAACAAAAGUUGUCCUUCAAAGUCACAAGGAAAAGCUCCCUAUCAGCAUCAGCGUCAGCAACAGCCUUUCCCAGUGGACAAAGACACUUGUGUCCACUUUAAGAAGACCGGGCAUUACAAGAAAGACUGCCCUAUUUGGCUGAAGUCCUUAAUGGCAAAGCAAGGGAUUCCAUUCGACCCGGACUACGCUAAGAAGAGAAAGAGGAAUUGA
Molecule: ribosomal RNA, 1527 nt
Filed under: Triticum aestivum (bread wheat)
Lineage: Eukaryota; Viridiplantae; Streptophyta; Magnoliopsida; Poales; Poaceae
Description: partial small subunit ribosomal RNA
Source: RNAcentral